This is a long non-coding RNA of Lacerta agilis (Sand lizard), 310 nucleotides long. RefSeq lists it as uncharacterized. Lineage: Eukaryota; Metazoa; Chordata; Lepidosauria; Squamata; Lacertidae. The record is from RefSeq and is a predicted model, not a curated record. The transcript has 3 exons.
CAUAAGAAUGGAUAAUGGAAUUCUGAUGAACCAUAAAGCUCUGAAUAAUAUAUUGUUUUUGUAAUACUCACCUUGACUGUGCUUAGACCUGACAGAUCCUGGCUAUGAGCACAGCUUAGGAGUGAGUCUUCCAUUUUGUUCCCUUCCCAUGAUUUGCAGCAGCAGAUAUGAGGACAUGCACUUUGAUACAAAGGUCCAAGUAGAAAAUAGAGCACUUCAGAUUUAGAUUUGUCCAUGUUUCCAGUGGUUUCUACCAUCUGCCUCAAAUGGUGAAGAACUUGUGAUGCAGCAGUAUGAAGCUCUAAGAAGG